Molecule: long non-coding RNA, 1162 nt
Filed under: Lathyrus oleraceus (garden pea)
Lineage: Eukaryota; Viridiplantae; Streptophyta; Magnoliopsida; Fabales; Fabaceae
Description: Pisum sativum (pea) long non-coding RNA (PSAT_LNC040985)
Source: RNAcentral
UUUCCAUAAUUGAAUGCCAUUAAAAUUUAAAGCUCACAACAUUUGCAUUCUAUAGAAUUAUUAUCAAAAACUAAAGAGUCUUACAACUAAAUUCAUAUUUAUUCAUAUCAUGCAUCAACUCUAACAAAGAGGAAAAACGAAACAAAAACUAACAGCCCCAAAAAUCAAUUAUAGUGAUGCUAAAAUUGACAUGAUGACUCAUAAACCUUACACCUGCGACAUUGUUACUAGUGUCGACUAUCCAUCAUCAUAAAUCUGAUUUAGACCGGAAAUGUAAAACACAACAACACAUAAAUCAUUCACAGCAUUUCGAGGUGUAAUGGCUAUACUUAGCUUAUACAUAGGUAUGCAUUAAGCACUGAAUCGAAGGCAUUUAUAUGCAAAAACUCAUCAUAAAAAAAAGCAUAACAAGCAUUAAACUAGUUUUAAUAACCUGUGUUCUAACCAAAAAUUGCAAUUGGGACGUCAAUGUAAUCGACACAAUGACACCACAACACACACACUGCUAAGUGAAUUAUUGCACUGAAGCAAUCAACAAAAACAACACCACAACCAAUACACAACAACUGCGCUGGGUCGAAGACGAACAAACUUUCGAUAACCAAAAUACAGCAUACGACAGUGAAGUUUGUAAUUGCUUGACAGAAACAACCAUAUGAUUAAAUCAGAUUGAAACACCAUAAUAAAUACGUUCAAAGAAAAUUAAAAUCGUUACCAAAAUGCAAAUUACGUUGCUGAUACGCUUGUCGAUGUCGCCAUUGAGCUUCUGCAGCAUUGUCAUAGUAUAAUUUGUGACUUUCUUUGAGCACAUCGACCCUUUCCAAUCUUCAGCUAUUGCCGGCUCCGGCGUUGCUUUUCGUAUACUCCAUUCGAGUAUGACAGAGUAAUCAUACUCCAACCUGCACAAAAACGGACAACAUCCACACAGGGUAUCAUGAGGAUUCGAAAUCGCCAAACAGAGUUGGGUCGACGGUGUGAUUUCAGUUCACCGUUGUGCAGAAUUUCUGGAGGAUAGGGUUUUAGAUGGCGGCAAGCUCGGAUGUGAGUAAAAGUGGUGAAGGGAAACCGUGCUUUGUGAAAAUAUGAAGAAGUGGGUUAUGGCGGACGGAAAGCUUUCACCGGAGGUUGUCGCGUGAAGGUCGGUUGUAGUGUUGUGACGGCG